GAUGAACGCUGGCGGCGUGCCUAAUACAUGCAAGUCGAGCGAACGGACGAGAAGCUUGCUUUUCUGAUGUUAGCGGCGGACGGGUGAGUAACACGUGGAUAACCUACCUAUAAGACUGGGAUAACUUCGGGAAACCGGAGCUAAUACCGAAUAAUAUUUUGAACCGCAUGGUUCAAAAGUGAAAGACGGUCUUGCUGUCACUUAUAGAUGGAUCCGCGCUGCAUUAGCUAGUUGGUAAGGUAACGGCUUACCAAGGCAACGAUGCAUAGCCGACCUGAGAGGGUGAUCGGCCACACUGGAACUGAGACACGGUCCAGACUCCUACGGGAGGCAGCAGUAGGGAAUCUUCCGCAAUGGGCGAAAGCCUGACGGAGCAACGCCGCGUGAGUGAUGAAGGUCUUCGGAUCGUAAAACUCUGUUAUUAGGGAAGAACAUAUGUGUAAGUAACUGUGCACAUCUUGACGGUACCUAAUCAGAAAGCCACGGCUAACUACGUGCCAGCAGCCGCGGUAAUACGUAGGUGGCAAGCGUUAUCCGGAAUUAUUGGGCGUAAAGCGCGCGUAGGCGGUUUUUUAAGUCUGAUGUGAAAGCCCACGGCUCAACCGUGGAGGGUCAUUGGAAACUGGAAAACUUGAGUGCAGAAGAGGAAAGUGGAAUUCCAUGUGUAGCGGCGAAAUGCGCAGAGAUGUGGAGGAACACCAGUGGCGAAGGCGACUUUCUGGUCUGUAACUGACGCUGAUGUGCGAAAGCGUGGGGAUCAAACAGGAUUAGAUACCCUGGUAGUCCACGCCGUAAACGAUGAGUGCUAAGUGUUAGGGGGUUUCCGCCCCUUAGUGCUGCAGCUAACGCAUUAAGCACUCCGCCUGGGGAGUACGACCGCAAGGUUGAAACUCAAAGGAAUUGACGGGGGCCCGCACAAGCGGUGGAGCAUGUGGUUUAAUUCGAAGCAACGCGAAGAACCUUACCAAAUCUUGACAUCCUUUGACAACUCUAGAGAUAGAGCCUUCCCCUUCGGGGGACAAAGUGACAGGUGGUGCAUGGUUGUCGUCAGCUCGUGUCGUGAGAUGUUGGGUUAAGUCCCGCAACGAGCGCAACCCUUAAGCUUAGUUGCCAUCAUUAAGUUGGGCACUCUAAGUUGACUGCCGGUGACAAACCGGAGGAAGGUGGGGAUGACGUCAAAUCAUCAUGCCCCUUAUGAUUUGGGCUACACACGUGCUACAAUGGACAAUACAAAGGGCAGCGAAACCGCGAGGUCAAGCAAAUCCCAUAAAGUUGUUCUCAGUUCGGAUUGUAGUCUGCAACUCGACUACAUGAAGCUGGAAUCGCUAGUAAUCGUAGAUCAGCAUGCUACGGUGAAUACGUUCCCGGGUCU
RNAcentral lists this ribosomal RNA (1372 nucleotides) under uncultured bacterium. Its description in RNAcentral is "bacterial SSU rRNA". It matches the Rfam family "Bacterial small subunit ribosomal RNA", at positions 28 to 1381 of the family's 1533-position model. The record is from RNAcentral.